Molecule: ribosomal RNA, 106 nt
Filed under: Niallia taxi
Lineage: Bacteria; Bacillati; Bacillota; Bacilli; Caryophanales; Bacillaceae
Description: Bacillus sp. M5HDSG1-1 partial 23S ribosomal RNA
Rfam family: Bacterial large subunit ribosomal RNA
Source: RNAcentral
GUAAGCUAGUAAGAUCCCUGAAAGAUGAUCAGGUUGAUAGGUUUGAGGUGGAAGCGUGGUGACACGUGGAGCUGACAAAUACUAAUAGAUCGAGGACUUAACUAAA